UCGAGUUGAUCCUGCUCGAGGUUACUGCUAUUGGGGUCUGACUAAGACAUGCACGUCCAGGGCACGGCAAAGGCCCUGGCAGCCAGCUCAGUAACACGUGGACAAUCUACCUUACGGAAGGGGAUAACCUCGGGAAACUGAGGAUAAUACCCUAUAGGCGACGAGCACUGGAAUGUCCGUCGCUGAAAGCUAAAGCUAUUGCCGCUGAUGCACCGUAAGAUGAGUCUGCGGCGGAUUAGGUUGACGGUAGGGUAACGGCCUACCGUGCCUGCGAUCCGUAUCGGCUAUGUGAGUAGGAGCCGGGAGAUGGACACUGAGACAAGGGUCCAGGUUCUACGGAACGCAGCAGUCGCGAAACCUUCCCAAUGCGCGCAAGCGUGAGGAGGGGACCCCAAGUGCGUACUCACAAAGUAUGCUUUUACGGAGUGUAAAAAGCUCCGGGAAUAAGGACUGGGCAAGACUGGUGCCAGCCUCCGCGGUAACACCAGCGGUUCUAGUGGUAAUCGCGUUUACUGGGUUUAAAGCGUCCGUAGUCGGUUCAGCAAGUCCCCUGUGAAAUCCUGCAGCUCAACUGUAGGGCUUGCAGGGGAUACUACUGGGCUUGAGGCCGGGAGAGGCAGGGGGUAUUCUAGGGGUACCGGUGAAAUGGUAUAAUCCCUGGAAGACCACCAGUAGCGAAGGCGCCCUGCUGGAACGGGCCUGACGAUGAGGGACGAGAGCUAGGGGAGCAAACCGGAUUAGAUACCCGGGUAGUCCUAGCCGUAAACGAACGACUGAGUGUUGCCGGAACCUCGUGUUCCAGCAGUGCUGAAGGGAAACCGUUAAGUCCGCCAUCUGGGAAGUACGGUCGCAAGGCUGAAACUUAAAGGAAUUGGCGGGGGAUCACCACAAGGGGUGGAUGCUGCGGUUUAAUUGGAUACAACCCCGGAAAACUCACCAGGUGCGACGGCAGAAUGAAGGCCAGGUUAAAGGUCUUGCCGGACAAGCCGAGAGGUAGUGCAUGGCCGUCGUCAGCUCGUACCGUGAGGCGUACGGUUAAGUCCGUUAACGAGCGAGACCCGUGCCCUUAUUUGCCAGUCUCGAGGAGACUCGGGACGCACUAUAAGGGGACUGCAUGCGAUGAGUGUGAGGAAGGCGCGGGCGACGGUAGGUCUGUAUGCUCCGAAUCUCCUGGGCUACACGCGGCAUACAAUGGCACGGACAAUGGGUUGCAACUCUGAAAAGAGGAGCUAAUCCCCUAAACCGUGUCUCAGUUCGGAUCGAGGGUUGAAACUCACCCUCGUGAAGUUGAAAUCCCUAGUAAUCGCUCUUUACCAUAGAGCGGUGAAUAUGUCCCUGAUCCUUGCACACACCGCCCGUCAAACCAACCGAGUAAACUUUGGGUGAGGCAUACUCUAUAAGGGUGUGUCGAAUCUAGGGUCUGCGAGGGGGGUUAAGUCGUAACAAGGUA
This 1450-nucleotide ribosomal RNA is filed under the name metagenome. RNAcentral's name for it is "bacterial SSU rRNA". It matches the Rfam family "Archaeal small subunit ribosomal RNA". The record is from RNAcentral.